RNAcentral lists this transfer RNA (73 nucleotides) under Pterolophia sp. ZJY-2019. RNAcentral describes it as "tRNA-Trp". Lineage: Eukaryota; Metazoa; Arthropoda; Insecta; Coleoptera; Cerambycidae. The record is from RNAcentral.
AAGGAUUUAAGUUAAACCCCCCCCCAAACUAUCAACCUUCAAAGUUGAAAAUAGAAGAUAUGCCUAAGCCUUA